ACCCCAGCCAGCAUGGCCGGCAGGAGCGCACCGCGCUGUCUCCCUCCAGGGAUCCGCACCGCCCUACAAUCCUGCUUUGUGCUGAGAUUGUAGUCCUGCAGGCGUACAACUAACAAGCUGGGUGCAGAUAAGAGACUACAGCUCCCCGCAUCCCAAGCAAAGGUCCCUCCUCUACGGAGCCCCUCCACGCGUCCACUGCGGUUCCGCCGUGCCAAGGGGAGCUUGGCUGUUCACGGGCCUCACCUGCUAGCGAGAAGAUAGCUUGGCCGGGCGGCUGAUCUCACCUUGUAAUUCUGACACUGUGUCUCCCGGGCUUGUCGGCUUCAUGACUUGUGCCCAAAGUUUGAUUUCUCGCAGACCAGGAGGACCCAUUGGACCCCCGGGCUGGCUGCAGGGCCCACACCUGGGUUAGACCUCGCACAGGGACGCUGCUGCCACUGUAAUAAAGCGUGCCUACACGCUUCUGAAACUGGUGUAGGAACAACCUCAGUUCUGUGAAAGGCGGACGCAGCAGGACAGAAUCUCCGUGGACAUCUGUCUGGAGGAGCAAUUUUACUGCGACAUUUUAAAGAAACAAAUUUAAUUGAUUUCCAAGGGUGUCCAUCGCGCUUCCUUCACUGCCUUGAUCAUGUCGGGGUCACCACCUGCGGGGGUUUGUCCUGCAGACCCUGACUCAACGACGGAUGAAUAAUGUACACUGACACAGAUCUUAUGCUUGUCAGUCCUGCUGAGCAUCCAGGCCACUUACAGACUCCAAGAAGAGUCCUGUCAGCCACGGCUCUGACUUGUUGGCCCUCCCGGCAUUUAUUUAGCACACAUUUAAUGACAGAAGUCUCAGGCUGGAAACACUCUUUUUGUAGAACAUACAAAUGGACAUUUCUAAGCACAUUGAGGCCUAUAAUGAAAAAUCAAAUAUCCCACAAUGAAAACUAGAAGGAAGCUAUCUGUGAUAAUGCUUUGUGGUGUAUGGAUUCAUCUCACUGACUGAAACCUGAGUUUUGAUUCACCAGAAUCUAUGCAGGGACAUUUUUGUGCUCAUUGAGGCCUACUGUGAAAAACCAAACAUCAGGGGUGGAGCCAAAAAAGCCAAAUAGGAACAGCUCCAGUCUACAGCUCCCAGCAUGAGCCACACAGAAGAUGGAUGAUUUCUGCAUUUCCAACUGAGGUACCAGGUUCAUCUCACUGGGGAGUGUUGGAAAGUGGGUUCAGGACAGUGGGUGCAGGACACCGAGCAUGAGCCAAAAGAGGGUGAGGCAUCACCUCACCUGGGAAGCACAAGGGGUCAGGGAAUUCACUUUCCUAGUCAAAGAAAGUGGUGACAGAUGGCACCUGGAAAAUCAGGUCACUCCCACCAUAAUACUGCACUUUUCCAAUGGUCUUAGCAAAUGGCACACCAGGAGAUUAUAUCCCUUGCAUGGCUUGGAGGGUUCUACACCCAUGGAGCCUUGCUUAUUGCUAGCACAGCAGUAUAAGAUCAAACUGCAAGGUGGCAGAGAGGCUUGGGGAGGGGCACCCACCAUUGCCGAGGCUUGAAUAGGUAAACAAAGUGGCUAGGAAGCUCGAACUUGGUGGAGCCCACCACAGCUCAAGGAGGCCUGCCUGCCUCUGUAGACUCCACCUCCGGGGGCAGGACAUAGCCAAACAAAAGGCAACAGAAACCUUUGCAGAUUUAAUUGUCCCUGUCUGACAGCUUUGAAGAGAGUAGUGGUUCUCCCAGCACGCAGCUGGAGAUCUGAGAAUGGAGAGAUUGCCUCCUCAAGUGGGUCCCUGAACCCCAAGUAGCAUAACUGGGAAGCACCCCCCAGUAGGGGCAGACUGACACCUCACAAGGCCGGGUACUCCUCUGAGACAAAACUUCCAGAGGAACAAUCAGGCAUCAACAUUUGCUGUUCACCAAUAUCCGCUGUUCUGCAGCCUUUGCUGCUGAUACCUAGGCAAAUAGGGUCUGGAGUGGACCUCCAGCAAACUCCAACAGACCUGCAGCUGAGGGUCCUGACUGUUAGAAGGAAAACUAACAAACAGAAAGGACAUCCACACAAAAACCCCAUCUGUACGUCACCAUCAUUGAAGACCAAAGGUAGAAAAAACCACAAAAAUGGGGAAUAAAACAGAAAAGAAAAACUGGAAACUCUAAAAAUUAGAGUGCCUCUCCUCCUCCAAAGGAAUGCAGCUCCUCACCAGCAAUGAAACAAAGCUGGAUGGAGAAUGACUUUGACGACUUGAGAGAAGAAGGCUUCAGAUGAUCAAACUAUUCUGAGCUAAAAGAGAAAGUUCGAACCCAUGGCAAAGAAGUUAAAAACCUUGAAAAAAAGUUAGAUGAAUAGCUAACUAGAAUAGCCAAUGCAGAGAAGUCCUUAAAGGACUUGAUGGAGCUGAAAACCAAGGCACGAGAAAUACAUGAUGAAUGCACAAGCCUCAGUAACCAAUUCGAUCAACUGGAAGAAAGGGUAUCAGUGAUGGAAGAUCAAAUGAAUGAAAUGAAGUGAGAAGAGAAGCUUAUAGAAAAAAGAAUAAAAAGAAAUGAACAAAGCCUUCAAGAAAUAUGGGACUAUGUAAAAACCCCAAAUCUACAUCGGAUUGUUGUAUCCGAAAGUGACAGGGAGAAUGGAACCAAGUUGGAAAACACUCUGCGGGAUAAUAUCCAGGAGAAUUUCCCCAAUCUAGCAAGGCAGGCCAACAUUCAAAUUCAGGAAAUAACAGAGAAUGCUACAAAGAUACUCCUCGAGAAGAGCAACUCCAAGACACAUAAUUGUCAGAUUCGCCAAAUUUCAAAUGAAGGAAAAAAUGUUAAGGAUAGCCAGAGAGAAAGGUCGGGUUACCCACAAAGGGAAGCCCAUCGGACAAACAGCAGAUAUGUCAGUAGAAACUCUACAAGCCGGAAGAGAGUGGGGGCCAAUAUUCAACAUUCUUAAAGAACAGAAUUUUCAACGCAGAAUUUCAUAUACAGUCAAACUAAGCUUCAUAAGUGAAGGAGAAAUAAAAUGCUUUACAGACAAGCAAAUGCUGAGAGAUUUCGUCACCACCAGGCCUUCCCUAAAAGAGCUCCUGAAGGAAGCACUAAACAUGGAAAGGAACAACUGAUACCAGCCACUGCAAAAACAGGCCAAAUUGUAAAGACCAUUGAGGCUAGGAAGAAACUGCAUCACCUAAUGAGCAAAAUAGCCAGCUAACAUCAUAAUGACAGGAUCAAACUCACACGUAACAAUAUUAACCUUAAAUGCAAAUGGGCUAAAUGCUCCAAUUAAAAGACACAGACUGGCAAAUUGGAUAAAAGGUCAGGAGCUAUCAGUAUGCUGUAUUCAGGAAACACAUCUCACAUACAGAGACACACAUAGGCUUAAAAUAAAGGGAUGGAGGAAGAUCUACCAAGAAAAUGGAAAACAUAAAAAGGCAGGAAUUGCAAUCCUAGUCUCUGAUAAAACAGAAUUUAAACCAACAAAGAUCAAAAGAGACAAAGAAGGCCAUUAUAUAAUGGUAAAGGGAUCAAUUCAACAAGAAGAGCUAACUAUCCUAAAUAUAUAUGCACCCAAUACAGGAGCACCCAGAUUCAUAAAGCAAGUCCUUAGAGACCUACAAAGAGACUUAGACUCCCACACAGUAAUAAUGGGAGACUUUAACACCCCACUGUCAACAUUAGACAGAUCAACGAGACAGAAAGUUAGCAAGGAUAUCCAGGAACUGAACUCAGCUCUGCACCAAGUGGACCUAAUAGAUAUCUACAGAACUCUCCACCCCAAAUCAACAGAAUAUAAAUUCUUUUCAGCACCACACCACACUUAUUCCAAAAUUGACCACAUAGUUGGAAGUAAAGCACUCUUCCGCAAAUGUAAAAGGACAGAAAUUAUAACAAAAUGUCUCUCAGACCACAGUGCAAUCAAACUAGAACGCAGGAUUAAGAAACUCACUGAAAACCGCUCAAUGACAUGGAAACUGAACAACCUGCUCCUGAGUGACUACUGGGUACAUAACGAAAUGGAGGCAGAAAUAAAGAUGUUCUUUGAAACCAAGGAGAACAAAGACACAACAUACCAGAAUCUCUGGGACGCAUUCAAAGCAGUGUGUAGAGGGAAAUUUAUAGCACUAAACGCCCACAAGAGAAAGUAGGAAAGAUCUAAAAUUGACACCCUAACAUCACAAUUAAAAGAACUAGAGAAGCAAGAGCAAACACAUUCAAAAUCUAGCAGAAGGCAAGAACAACUAAGAUCAGAGUAGAGCUGAAGGAAAUAGACACGCAAAAAACCCUUCAAAAAAUCAAUGAAUCCAGGAGCUGGUUUUUUUAAAAGAUCAACAAAAUUGAUAGACCACUAGCAAGACUAAUAAAGAAGAAAAGAGAGAGGAAUCAAAUAGACUCAAUAAAAAAUGAUAAAGGGGAUAUCACCACCGAUCCCAUAGAAAUACAAACUACCAUCAGAGAAUACUAUAAACACCUCUACACAAAUAAACUAGACAAUAUAGAAGAAAUGGAUAAAUUCCUCGACACAUACACCUCCCAAGACUAAACCAGGAAGAAGUUGAAUCUUUGAAUAGACUAAUAACAGGCUCUGAAAUUGAGGCAAUAAUUAAUAGCUUGCCAAGCAAAAAAAGUCAAGGACCACAUGGAUUCAUAGCUGAAUUCUACCAGAGGAAAAAGGAGGAGCUGGUACCAUUCCUUCUGAAACUACUCCAAUCAAUAGAAAAAGAGGGAGUCCUCCCUAACUCAUUUUAUGAGGCCAGCAUCAUCCUGUUACCAAAGCCUGGCAGAGACACAACAAAAAAAAAGAGAAUUUUAGAACAAUAUCCCUGAUGAACAUUGAUAUAAAAAUCCUCAAUAAAUACUGGCAAACCGAAUCCAGCAGCACAUCAAAAAGCUUAUCCACCAUGAUCAAGUGGGCUUCAUCCCAGGGAUGCAACGCUGGUUCAACAUAGGCAAAUCAAUAAACGUAAUCCAGCAUAUAAACAGAACCAAUGACAAAACCAUAUGAUUAUCUCAAUAGAUGCAGAAAAAGCCUUCGACAAAAUUCAACAGCCCUUCAUGCUAAAAACUCUCAAUAAAGUAGGUAUUGAUGGGAUGUACCUCAAAAUAAUAAGAGCUAUCUAUGACAAACCCACAGCCAAUAUCAUAUUGAAUGUGCGAAAACUGGAAGCAUUCCCUUUGAAAACUGGCACAAGACAGGGAUGUCCUCUCUCACCACUCCUAUUCAACAUAGUGUUGGAAGUUCUGGCCAGGGCAAUCAGGCAGGAGAAAGAAAGUGUAUUCAAUUAGGAAAAGAGGAAGUCAAAUUUUCCCUGUUUGCCAAUGAGAUGAUUGUAUAUCUAGAAAACCCCAUUGUCUCAACCCAAAAUCUCCUUAAGCUGAUAGGCAACUUCAGAAAAGUCUCAGGAUACAAAAUAAAUGUGCAAAAAUCAGAAGCAUUCUUAUACACCAGUAACAGACAAACGGAGAGCCAAAUCAUGAGUGAACUCCCAUUCACAAUUGCUUCAAAGAGAAUAAAAUACCUAGGAAUCCAACUUACAAGGGAUAUGAAGGACUUCUUCAAUGAGAACUACAAACCAAUGCUCAAUGAAAUAAAAGAGGACACAAACAAAUGGAAGAAUAUUCCAUGCUCAUGGAUAGGAAAAAUCAAUAUCGUGAAAAUGGCCAUACUGCCCAAGGUAAUUUAUAGAUUCAAUGCCAUCCCCAUCAAGCUACCAAUGACUUUCUUCAAAGAAUUGGAAAAAACUACUUUAAAGUUCAUAUGGAACCAAAAAAGAGCCCACAUCGCCAAGUCAAUCCUAAGCCAAAAGAACAAAGCUGGAGGCAUCACGCUACCCGACUUCAAACUAUACUACAAGGCUACAGUAACCAAAACAGCAUAGUACUGGUAUCAAAACAGAGAUUUAGACCAAUAGAACAGAACAGAGCCCUCAGAAAUAAUGCUGCACAUCUACAACCAUCUGAUCUUUGACAAACCUGACAAAAACAAGAAAUGGGGAAAGGAUUCCCUAUUUAAUAAAUGGUGCUUGAAAAACUGGCUAGCCAUAUGUAGAAAGCUGAAAUGAGAUCCCUUCCUUACACUUUAUACAAAAAUUAACUCAAGAUGGAUUAAAGACUUACAUGUUAGACCUAAAACCAUAAAAACCCAGGAAGAAAACCUAAGCAAUACCAUUCAGGACAUAGGCAUAGGCGAGGACUUCAUGUCUAAAACACCAAAAGCAAUGGAAACAAAAGCCAAAAUUGACAAAUAAGAUCUAAUUAAACUAAAGAGCUUCUGCACAGCACAAGAAACUACCAUCAGAGUGAACAGACAAACUACAAAAUGGGAGAAAAUUUUUACAAUCUACUCAUCUGACAAAGGGCUAAUAUCCAGAAUCUUCAAUGAACUCAAACAAAUUUACAAGAAAAAAACAAACAACCCCAUCAACAAGUGGGCAAAGGAUAUGAACAGACACUUCUCAAAAGAAGAUAUUUAUGCAGCCAAAAAACACAUGAAAAAAUGCUCAUCAUCACUGGCCAUCAGAGAAAUGCAAAUCAAAACCACAAUGGGAUACCAUCUCACACCAUUUAGAAUGGCAGUCAUUAAAAAGUCAGGAAACAACAGGUGCUGGAGAGGAUGUGGAGAAAUAGGAACACUUUUACACUGUUGGUGGGACUGUAAACUAGUUCAACCAUUGUGGAAGUCAGUGUGGUGAUUCCUCAGGGAUCUAGAACUGGAAUAACCAUUUGACCCAGCCACCCCAUUCCUGGGUAUAUACCCAAAGGACUAUAAAUCAUGCUGCUAUAAAGACACAUGAACACGUAUGUUUAUUGCGGCACUAUUCACAAUAGCAAAGACUUGGAACCAACCCAAAUGUCCAACAAUGAUAGACUGGAUUAACAAAAUGUGGCACAUAUACACCAUGGAAUACUAUGCAGCCAUAAAAAAUGAUGAGUUCAUGUCCUUUGUAGGGACAUGGAUGAAAUUGGAAAUCAUCAUUCUCAGUAAACUAUCGCAAGGACAAAAAAACAAAAACCGCAUAUUCUCACUCAUAGGUGGGAAUGGAAAAAUGAGAUCACAUGGACACAAGAAGGGGAACAUCACACUCUGGGGACUGUUGUGGGGUGGGGUGAGUGGGGAGGGAUAGCAUUGAGAGAUAUACCUAAUGCUAGAUGACGAGUUAGUGGGUGCAGCACACCAGAGUGGCACUUGUAUACAUAUGUAACUCACCUGCACAAUGUGCACAUGUACCCUAGAACUUAAAGUAUAAUAAUAAAAAAAAAA
RNAcentral lists this long non-coding RNA (7217 nucleotides) under Homo sapiens (human). RNAcentral's name for it is "non-protein coding LINC00662:45". The record is from RNAcentral. Lineage: Eukaryota; Metazoa; Chordata; Mammalia; Primates; Hominidae.